CUCGCUUCGGAAGUGGUGGGCUAUUGCAUCGCGUGCCUUCGGCACU
RNAcentral lists this non-coding RNA (46 nucleotides) under Candidatus Koribacter versatilis Ellin345. Its description in RNAcentral is "Acido-Lenti-1 RNA". It matches the Rfam family "Acido-Lenti-1 RNA". The record is from Rfam by way of RNAcentral. Lineage: Bacteria; Pseudomonadati; Acidobacteriota; Terriglobia; Terriglobales; Candidatus Korobacteraceae.